RNAcentral lists this ribosomal RNA (494 nucleotides) under uncultured bacterium. RNAcentral's name for it is "partial 16S ribosomal RNA". It matches the Rfam family "Bacterial small subunit ribosomal RNA", at positions 28 to 507 of the family's 1533-position model. The record is from RNAcentral.
GACGAACGCUGGCGGCGUGCUUAACACAUGCAAGUCGAACGGAAAGGCCUGCUUUCCCUUGUGGAUUGCGGGUACUCGAGUGGCGAACGGGUGAGUAACACGUGAGUGAUCUGCCCCCAACUUGGGUAUAAGCCUGGGAAACUGGGUCUAAUUCCCGAUAGGACUGCAGGGUGGUGCCUGUGGUGGAAAACGAUUUUCUAGUGGUUGGGGAUGAGCUCGCGGCCUAUCAGCUUGUUGGUGGGGUAAUGGCCUACCAAGGCGGCGACGGGUAGCCGGCCUGGGAGGGUGGACGGCCACAUUGGGACUGGGAUACGGCCCAGACGCCUGCGGGAGGCAGCAGUGGGGAAUAUUGCACAAUGGGCGGAAGCCUGAUGCAGCGACGCCGAGUGGGGGAUGACGGCCUUCGGGUUGUAAACUCCUUUCGACCGCGAGGAAGCCACCUGGUUGGAAGGGUGGUGACGGUAGUGGUAGAAGAAGCACCGGCUAACUACGUG